Molecule: long non-coding RNA, 10477 nt
Filed under: Equus asinus (donkey)
Lineage: Eukaryota; Metazoa; Chordata; Mammalia; Perissodactyla; Equidae
Description: lncRNA (ENSEASG00005035778.1)
Source: RNAcentral
CGGUACAACCAAAAGCCUUCCAGUGUGGGCGGGGCGGACUGGUUUAGAUUACUCAGAUCCAGUCUGGGCAGUAGAACCUGGUGUCAGCAUUGCUAGUGCAUUGACCAGAUCUGCUAGUUUUCCCUCUUUCCAACCUACCACCUGACAUUCUUGUGUAGGGCGAACACGUCGGAACGAGUAAGCCUAUUGUGUUCUUGGAUAAGUUGGUAAGAGGGAAACUGAACAAAGUGAUGCUGGAUAUUUUUCUAAUACAAAAUUGUGGGGACUCAAAGAUUAAUUGAGGGGGAGCAAAAAAUACAAAGUGAUGUGAUCUUCUUUAAUCACAAGCUGAAAAAGUGACUCAUCCUGGCUACCCAUGAGUUUCAGGAGCUUAACUAAUCUUAGAUAUUUUCUGUUCUGAGUUUCCCUAAUUCAAUCUUUUAAGGUGUGCAUGGACUUUAAAUGUAUUGGUGGAUGUUGUGCUGAAAUAGACAGGCCUGGGCAGAAUGCCUUAGAACAAGUAAAAGAAGAAACUUUGUGAGUCUCCUUGGAGCAGCUUCUAGAGAAGAUCUCUGCUAACUCCCUUCCCAUAUGUUACGGUGGAGGAGACUUUUCUCAAGCAGAAAUGACAGAAGGGACCCCUUUGUAACAUGAGCAGUUCUGCAGGGGAAACGGGUCUCCUUGUGACUCUGGAGAUAAGAGGCACAUUUAUGACAGUGCCCUCUGGUCUUCGCAGAAGACACUCCCUUUGAGCAGUCCAGUUUGAGUGUUCACAGAAAACUGUGUGUGAGUAAUAUACUUCUAAAAAUACCAUGUUGGCUAGUGGGAAGAGAAAUGCAUACAAGAUAAAGUCACAGCGGAAAUAUAAUAAAAGCAUGAUUAUUUUGGCAAAAAUGUUAUGCCUAAGCACGCAUGUGCUUCUUAGACUCCACAGAUUAAGUCCCCAUGAAGAUGAUUUAGGGGAUAGCUGGUCUCUUCCUUAGCUAGUUUAUGGGCCUGGAGAAUGUACACCUCCUCUGACCUUACCUACUAACUCUCUAGUUGGCUUUUCCAAUGCAGAAACUCAUAGUACGUACUACGAGUUGUGUGACUUCAAGAUAGAUGGACAAGUUGGUUUUCUCCACGGCCAUACCUAGCCUCUGCUCAGCACCUCUUACAGGUGCUGCAUAAGUCAGAUAAUUGAGAAGUUCCUCCUAGCUUACUCUGUUUUUCCUCACAUGAUUAGUUUUUUGGUGACUAUAUUUAUCUGUAACUUAGAACCACUCAAUGAGUUAAAUGACUGGGUGGAGGUGAAUGACAUCCCACUCAUGGAAAUAGACAUGAAAUAUGGAAUUUAUAAUGCAUGUGGCUAGAUGAAAAGACUCUGCAAACCAAUCAAGGUUUUGAGUUUCUUAUUGAAUAGAUCUGUGCCAUUUCCACUGCCCUUCCUCAUGCCAAGGGCUGUUAGCAGCAUUUCUGGCACAUGUCAGCAAUGCCACUUAAUGUGAAUGCCUUAAUGAUCCUUCCUUGGGGGUGUUGCUGGUGGUUUCAUGUUUCUGAUGUCCAGACCAGAAUACUCAUGAAACUCCAGCCACAGUUCUUCUGUGCUCUCCAUGACCUGUGCUAUGUCAGUUAGUUUAACACAUAAAUUCAUAUUCAGCAGAUUUAGAGACUUAUGUUACAACUCCUUAGAGGGCCUGACAAUGGUAUAACCUAAGUAGGUACCAAACCCUGCUAUGUGGUAGAGUGCAUAAUUUGGAGUAAGAAGUGUGUCCCAGGUUCCCCUUUUGUAACUCUGUGACCUCCAUCCCACGUAUUGACUGUGCCUUGUGCCAGCCUUGGACCUCUGAAGGUCAGCCUCAUCCCCGGUCAACCUCAGGACUGCAUCACUGGAUAAUUUGCCCAAGAAAUACACCACGAGUUCUCCUGGAGCUUGCUUUGUGCAUCAUGUUACACUAUUGCAAUGGAAAACAGAAACUCCUCUGAUCUUUCCAGAAGCUGAACUUCUGCACCUGUCAGGGGGCACAUCCAUGCAUGUGCAAGAGCACAAUCAGGCUCUCAGGCUCCUUCCCACAGACACACACACUCUAACGGGGGAGAGGCCAAGGACUUUGGACAGGUGUAGAGCCAUGCACAGAGCCACUGUUCUGGUCCUUGGACCUGUGCCAGCCUCUCCACCCCAAGUAGACGUGCAAUAAUGUGUUUUAUUCUUCACAGGCAAAGCAGAUCAUGGAAAUUAUUUUAUGAAAAGUACCUGGGAGUUUUGCCAAGCUCAUUUUUGGUUCAUUAUACCAUCUAUUAUUAAUACAUUAUCACACAAUGAUCACUUGAUCUGAUUUCUUUACCCCGUGCACACGGUGGUAGUUUUUCCCCCGAUUUUUUUUUUUUUGUGGGCAGUGUCACUGAAUCAUGGUCAAUGCUGAAUUUUAAAAUUUGUUCAUCUGAGUGUUGGCAGAAAGAUUCUUUCUGAUGAAUGCAGGUCUUCUGAGCAAUUCUUAUAGGUUCACCUUUCAGAAGGUAGAAAAAAAGAAAAAAAUCACUAUUGUCAACUGAAGACUUGAGAAACUGGGAAGAAAUGUGAGGUGCAGUGAAAUGGUAAAGAACGUUGGAGAAAUUAACCGUGUCAUCUUAGAGUUCAUAAUAAACUAGGAGGAAAAUUCAGAGAAUAACAUAACACAGAGAUUUUUAACUUAUUAGAGAAAAAAUAGGUAAAAUUUCAUGGCUGGAAGCUUUAAAAAGUAAAGAUAGCUUAAAAGGAAUUGAUGAUACCAUCUUAAAAGACUUUGAGUAAAAGACAGUUUAAGAAACUAGUGUAUCAGGAAACAGCUCGGUGUCUACUUUUAGAAGGAUUUUGACCAGAAAAAAGGAAGGAUCAGUACGUAGAGAAGAAUCAAUUUUUACAGACCCAUAAAGGGCAGUGUCUUCCAAAAAGAUUCAAGCGUGGCCCUAUUUUACUCAUCUUCAUAACUCCAGCACCUACUAUAAUGUUGGAGACACCACGUUUCUUUCAUUGAUCCUACAGCUUGAAGAAAUUUUAUCCCAGGUCCUUACAAUGCGUUGCUGAUGUGAUCCCAGCAUCACUGUGGCUAACAUGUGAUGAAACACAGAGAGUGCCAGGGGUGUCAAAAGGUGCAAGAAUGUGGCGGAGACACCUACCUGACCACCUCAAUAGCUAAGCUCUUUUUCUUCUUUAGUAACGGAAUUCUGAUUUCAGUGGGUGGAAGCAAUGCAUCUAACAAAACGUACAUUUUCCAACCUCUUUUACAGCUUGAUAUGGCUCUGUGACUAUAUUCUGGCCAAUGAAAUAUAAGAGCAGGUGUUGAGGUCGGCCCCAUGGCCAAGUGUUUAACUUCGCAUGCUCCGCCUCAGCGGCCCAGGGUUUCACCGCUUCGGGUCCUGGGCACGGACACGGCACCGCUCAUCAGGCCAUGCUGAGGUGGCAUCCCACAUAGCACAACCAGAAGGACCUACAACUAGAAUAUACAGCUAUGUACCAGGGGCCUUUGGGGAUAAGAACAAAAGAAGAUUGGCAACAGAUGUUAGCUCGGGUGCCAAUCUUUAAAAAAAAGAGCAGAUAUUAAUGUGUCAACAUGAAAUAUAAGAGCAGGUCUUCUGGUUGGCCUGAGAUCACUCAGCUGGAAAGAGUGGCCCUUUCGUCUCUGCUAUUCUGACUAAGUCCUUAAACCAUGCCAUAGUCUAAAGGACGGAAGUCAUAUGCUGAAAAUAGUGAAGGAUAGAGAUUGAAACCUGGACUCUUGAUGGCUCCACGGGCCAUCACACCCACCUCUGAACUGUCUACCUCUAGAUUUCUUAUAUUUCAGAGAAAAAAACCCACUUCUACGUGUUUGAUUAAGAUUAUGUUAUUUUGGAGUACCUGCUAGGCAGGUGAACCUAAUCUUAACUGAUAAAAUUCCCAGAGACUAUAGAUGUAUUUCAGGGACUAGAGACAAGUGUGUGUAACUCCCAGGAAAAAAAAAAAUCCUUAAAAAUGAAUUCUAAGCCACCUUGAAGGUCCUUAGGGAAGGAAACGGUGAUUUACAGGAGAUAAGGCACAUUCAAAAAGAAUAAUUAUUGCUAAAUUACUUUGAUUUUUUGGACUUUGUUAUGAGAUUGGUAGCUUUUAUUUAAUAGGAAAUAUUUUUAGAAGAUUUACUACUUGGCAGGUGCUGUUUUAAGUACUUGACGCUUAUUAUCUUUUAUAAUCAUCACAACAGGUACUAUUAAAAUCUUCUUAUUGAAAAUGGUGAAAGGGAGGCACUGAGGUUUAAACAACUGGUUUGAUGGAACGCAGUUAUUAAGUGAUGGAGACAAGACGCAAGCUGAAAAAGUGUGCAUUCAGAGGUCACCGUCUUAACUAGUAUACUACACUGUCUUUUAGGGGAAAGACACAGACAAUGAGUAUACUUUACAUUUUAGUGCCAUUGAAUGCAAUUUCAUAACAGCAGGGUAGAGAAAAAUGAGAUGUGCAUUUAGAUAAAUUCAAGAUGCACAACCAAUGUCAACCUGGAAGGAAGUCUCAUGGUCCUUGUCAAGGUCUCUUACUCAAUCCACUCCUUUUUAAGAAUUUUGUUAACGACUGUGGACAUAGAAGAUAUAUUUGUCAAACAUGCAAGAACCCAAGUAAGUUUAGCCUGGAAAAGAGAAGACUCAUGGAAACACGGGAGGUCUCAUCAAAGGCUUAGGUUAUAAUUUUAGACCUUUAACAGCUUCCAACAUCAUCAGUUUAAUGUCCCUCAGGGAUGGCGGGAAUGCAAAGUGGUACACAACCUAUAGAGACAAUAUUUUGCAAUAGUGCAAUAUUUGACAAUAUUGUGAGAAAUUAUAUAUGUAUCUACCCUUUGAUCCAGAAAGUCCACUUCCAGGACGUUCUUGCACAGAUACACUGGUGAAAAUGAAAAAAGCUACAAAACAAAUGGGCACAAAUUCACAAAGCCAUCCACUGAACAGUAAUUACGUAUAACUUGGUUUCUUUAACAAAUAAAAUUGUAAGGAAAAAAUACAAAUGAGAUGGACAGGGGUAUCUACAGGCUAAAAGAGACUUAAGCUGUAUAUUACUAAUUAUAAUAGUAGGCCCUUAUUUGUGUCCUGAUUCAAACAAGCAAACUCAGAGAGAGAGAGAGAGAGAGAAAGAGUGCAUGUGCGUGUUGGAGAAACGUGAGCAUUGUUUGCAUAGUUUAAGAUAUUUAGGAAUUAUUUUUAAUUUGGGGGAGAAAAGUAACAGUAUUGUGGUUGUAACAAAGCCAGAGUCCUUAUAUUUUAGAGAAACCGUGAAUCAUUAUGGAUGACUUUGUACAGUAUCUGAAAUUUGCUUCAAAACAAAUCCAGGGAGGAGGGAAAGUGGAUAAAGCCGAGACGAAACCAGACUGACCUUAAGUUGAUAUAUUUACAGCAGGGUGUGGCCUCCAGGGGCAUUCAUUAUUUUAUUACCUCAACUCUUGCAUAUGUUUGAAAUUUUCCAUAAUAAAAAGUAAAAAACAACUCUCUCAAUUUAACAUAAACUAUUUUAAUUUGCUAAAAAAUUUUCAACUUGAAAUGUACAGAUGCAGAUCUUUGAAAAAGGCACUCACUAAGAAGAAAAAAAACUGAAAUCUUUAGGAAAGGCUAAUUGAAUUUAAGCACUGGCCCGACAUUUGGUUUGCAGUAGAGCUAAGGAGCAAAUUCGGGACUCUGGAAACCUAAACUUAACUUCAGAGCUCUUUCUGCUUUAUGGCUGACUUUCAGUCAAAGGGCACUGAUGUCAAAGAGAGUGCGCUGUUUUUUGGGCGGCUAAAGGGGAACCAAUCAACCAAAGUUAUAAAAAGGUAUAUAUAUUUUUUUGUUUUGUUUUUGUUUUUUGUUUUUUGUUUUUGAGGAAGAUUAGCCCUGAGCUAACUACUGCCAGUCCUCCUCUUUUUUGCUGAGGAAGCCUGGCCCUGAGUUAACAUCUGUGCCCAUCUUCCUCUACUUUAUAUGUGGGAUGCCUACCACAGCAUGGUGUGCCGAGCGGUGCCACGUCCAUACCCAGGAUCCGAACUGGCGAAUCCCGGGCCGGUGAGAAGCGGAACAUGCGAACUUAAACACUGUGCCACCGGGUGGCCCCUACAAAGUUGUCGGUGACAUGAAUCUCGGCUCCAUUCUACACGGAGUAUUUCUGAGCUAAUUCUCACAGCCCCUACAUUUCAAGAGAUGAACAUACACACCAGAAGGACAUUACAGGAAAAUUGGAUUGCUCGACUGUGAGUGAGAUAUGGAAAGGCCUUUUCCCCACCAAGCAGCAGACGAAAUUGUAACAGAAGAUUAGCCCUGAGCCAACAUCUGCUGCCAAUCCUCUUUUUGCUGAGGAAGACUGGCCCUGAGCUAACAUCCAUGCCCAUAUUCCUCUACUUUAUACGUGGGACGCCUACCACAGCAUGGUGUGCCAAGCGGUGCCAUGUCUGCACCCGGGAUCCGAACCGGCGAACCCUGGGCUGCCGAAGCCAAACGUGUGAACUUAACUGCUGCACUACCGGGCCGGCCCCAAUCAGAUUCUUUAAAAAGCUACAUAGUUAACAUGUUUUCAUGCGUGGUUUAGAGCACAUCUGGUUUGUCCCUGGGGAAAUAUCAUCCCAGCUCUAGAGUUCUGCCAGAUCACUGCGAGGGCCCCGCCCACCUUGCCAAUCUCCAAGCUUUCAAAGGUCUCUGUCCAGCGGUGGAUCAAACACCUAGUAAUGCAUCCUGGGAGCAGAGAGGCUCCAGUCUCUUUCACAUUCAGUUAAAAUAAGGAGGGAUGGCAUCUAUGAAGAUGCGCACACCCAAUGAUGUGCAUAUGCACCACAAGAUGACAUGUGCACACCGGUGUGCACAGACCAGCAGGUCGGGGGACUCUCCAUGGCUAUCGUCUUCCUCGUAUGACUGGGAGACCCAAGCUGCUUGGAUCGUAUGGCUGUGACAUUUCAAUACCUGGUCUCCACAUUUACUGCCAACAAGAAAGCAAGGGAUGUGAAAUCACAAAGGGAGUGUUUAAUCCUCCAGCAUGGAAGUAACACACGCAUCACAUCGACUCACAUUCAUUUGUCACAACCUGCCAUAAAGCCCUUUUUACCUGCCUGAAGGCUGGGAAGUAUCAUCUUCUGUAUGUGUAGACAGGAGAGGAGAAUCAGCUACUGGCGGGCACUAAUGAGAUCUAUCACACAUACUUUAAUAAAAAUAAUUUUUAGGGAUAUCUAAUAUAAAUUAUAUGUUGUAACCAUGAUAGAAAAAAUAUUGGCUAAUGUUUGUCAUAAAUUAACGGUGGAUGAAAUCUAUUUAAGUAAGAUAAAGAAUUUAUCUAACAUAAGAAAAAAAGAGGCAACUUUAAUUACAAAAUGUUAAAAUGUUUGUUGAUUAAGGAAAACCAUAAACAAAGUCAAAUCUAAGCAAAUCAAAAUGUAAGUAACAAAAUGUUAAUCUCCCUAAUGUACAAAUAAGCUCCAAUAAAUGGAAUGGAAAAAACCCAGAACAAUGGAAAAAAGGCACGUGCAUAAUAUUUACAGAAGUGGUAAUUAAACUGAUAAUGAUGCUUAUACUGACUAGUAAUUAGUGAAACAUUUUACCCAUCAGAGCUACAGAAUUGUUCAGAUUGAUAAUUUACAGUUCCAAUGAAGUUAUGGGGAAAUAGAUGUUAGUUUCACACACUAUUGGAGGGAAUGUAAAUUACACUAAUCUUGUGGAAAGUAAUUUGAAGUGAUAUAUUCAAAUUUUAUAUAUGUCAGUCCUAUAACUCAGCAAUUCCAUGUCAGGGAAUCUACACAAAAAAAUACUUGUAUAGAGCCUGAAGCAUGUAAGUUCAAGAAUGCUCAUUUCAAUAUUGUCUGUAAUAGUACAAAAUAAGUGCCAACCUAAAUACCCAUUAAUAAGGGACUGGUUAAACAAUUCAUAGUUUAUCCAUUGCAUGCAAUUCUAUAUGCCUCCAAAACUAUAGACUUACUCCCCAAAAUGAUUGUUCAGUUACUAUCUUUUUGCCAUAAUGCCAUUUGAAAAUUUAUACCACUUUUCGGUGACUUUCAUUUUAUUUUUUUAGUAGCAGUGCUUUCACCUAAAAACCUACAAAAUAGGGGGCCGGCCCCGUGACCGAGGGGUUAAGUUCUUGCGCUCUGCCUUUGGCGGCCCAGGGUUUUGCUUGUUCGGAUCCUGUGCGUGACCAUGGCACCAGUCAUCAGGCCACGUUGAUGCGGUGUCCCACAUGCCGCAACUAGGAGCCACAACUAAAAAUAUACAACUAUGUACUGGGGGAAUUGGGGGAGAAAAAGCAGAGGAAAAAAAAAAGAAGAAGAUUGGCAACAGUUGUUAGCUCAUGUGCCAAUCUUUAAAAAAGAGAAAAAAUAAAUAAAUAAAAUAAAAAUAAAAACCUACGAAAUAAAUAUGACCUAAAAAACUAUAUUUUGACUUUAUUAUUUUAGACAAGGGCACACUCAAAAUUUACUCAAUACAAAAAUUUCUAUGCAGAGACGAUAUGUGGGACAGAUUUCAAUUGCUGUCAGAUUUGUCUUCCUUUGUAUGGGCACACAGAACACGAGGGAUAAAGAAGCAGCAACUUCUAUGACUCUGGUCUUUUAUGCACAUGUACUCCUAUUUGUAAAUGUUUUGACCCACUCUUGUGUUUAGUCUUUAUUUUCAAGUGUACUUUGAAUUAAAGUUAACUGUGAGCCCCCAAAUAGCUCAAAAACUGAUAAGUAAGUGUUGUUGUAGAAAGAAAAGUUAGGAAAAUUUUAAUCGUGGAGCAAAGGAUGAGUGAAAUAAAAGAGGAUGGAAGCAGGAGACAGAAGUAAAGAUUCUGCAGUCUUUUAGGAUAGUUCACUCUGCUUAAUACGCGAUCUUGAAUGCCUGGCUGAAGGUCGGUUACCUGAUCUCCCCUAGUCCUCCUUAGAACACCUCCCUCGCACCUCUGCUCCACCUGCCCAUUCACUGUCUGCCCCGCCUUAGUGAGUACACUGAACUUUCAUGAUGUUAUUGCAUUGACUUCCUUCAUAAAAAGCUGAUUUUGUUUUCCCUCAAAUUGUUUCUUAUUGCUUAUGUAAACUUGGUUUUAUUGUCAAUCAAUCGGUUUUUCUUCGUGAAAAUUGUUUUGGCGUCUUAGGUUGGCAGGAAGGAAAACAUAGGCCAGAAAGGAAAUCCUUGAAAGGAAUCAUAAUUUUUCCCAUUAAAAUUGAUAUAAAUAUUGCUUUUCAAUUUAAACGACUUUAUAGCUAGUGGCAUAGUUUGAGUUGUGAAUUAAAUUUGUUAAGCAGGCCAUGAGCAUAUUAAAGAAAUUUGUGCAUAAGGCUGUGCAAGGUUAUCUGUGAUUGGUAAGUGGAAAAAGAAAGUUGCUGAAUAUUAUAUGUUAUGAACUCAUUUUUGUAAAAAUGAUCUGGAAUGACAUUAUUAAUAGUGAUUAUGCCUGGGCUUCUAGAAUGCUAGUUAUUAGUUAUGAGAGAUCUGAGACACAGUGCUAAGGAUCCCAGCUCUAUAACUUGUUCACUGUAAAACUUUGGCCAACAUAGCUCUCCUCAAAAGCUUCACUUUUUUGUAACCUGAAUAUCACAGAUCAUAAUUAUUCUACCUCACAGGGUGGUUGUGAUGAUUCAAUGAGGUAAUCAACUGCCAGACACAGUAGGUGGGCUACACAUUGUAGCCAUUGUUAUUAUUUUAUGUACAUCUGUAUUGUUCAUUUAUUUUAAAAUGAACACGUCUUAACUUUGUAAAAAGAUUAAAAUAGAUCUAUAAGUUGUGUUGAGCUUUUAUUUAUUUAUUUAUUUUGAGGAAGAUUAGCCCUGAGCUAACUACUGCCAGUCCUCCUCUUUUUGCUGAGGAAGCCUGGCCCUGAGCUAACGUCGUGCCCAUCAUCCUCCACUUUAUAUGUGGGACGCCUACAACAGCAUGGCGUGCCAAGCGGUGCCAUGUCCACACCCAGGAUCCGAACCAGUGAACCCCGGGCCGAGGAGAAGCGGAACGUGCAAACUGAACUGCUGCGCCCCCGGGCCGGCCCCUGGGCUGAGCUUUUAGAAUAGGUUUUCCUAUAUCACAAAUGACUCCUCUUUCCUGAAGAAUUUGAAUAAAUGUGUAAAUUUGGAUAAAUUUGAAUAAAUGCUUAUCUGAACCAACCGUCGAUUCCUGGGUCUAGUGUUUGCUCUGUUUCCACACUCCUGCUACAGCCUGAUGGAGAUGCUUCUCUAGUUCUUGACUCCCAGGUAAGGUCUUUUCAUUUUGAGUACCAUAAUUUUAAAUGACAAAUGAAAUACGAGUUUUCUUCACAUAAUGUAUAAAUGCAUACCGAUUAAUACCAUUUAUUAAUUCUUGCUUCUGUCUCAUGUGGCUUUUUGUUUUCAUGUUUUGAGGGGAGAAGAGACUUGGCUAUGAGAACACCUUAAUGUGGAAACCCUGAGUUCGUGGUUUCCACUCACCUGUUUGCCAGCGAGGCUGAUAAAUGGUGCUGGGUAAGGAAGCUGGGAGCUUCUGGAAAUGUGACAGAAACCCUCUGUCCACCACCACACCAGAGACACGGGGCCCUUAGAGGUAAAUUCAUGAGGUUAAGGGCAAGCAAAAC